AUACGUAGGGGGCUAGCGUUAUCCGGAUUUACUGGGCGUAAAGGGUGCGUAGGUGGCCAAAUAAGUCAGGUGUGAAAGACCGGGGCUCAACCCCGGGGUUGCACUUGAAACUGUAUGGCUUGAGUACAGGAGAGGGAAGUGGAAUUCCUAGUGUAGCGGUGAAAUGCGUAGAUAUUAGGAGGAACACCAGUGGCGAAGGCGACUUUCUGGACUGUAACUGACACUGAGGCACGAAAGCGUGGGGAGC
RNAcentral lists this ribosomal RNA (247 nucleotides) under uncultured bacterium. RNAcentral describes it as "partial 16S ribosomal RNA". It matches the Rfam family "Bacterial small subunit ribosomal RNA", at positions 523 to 769 of the family's 1533-position model. The record is from RNAcentral.